GAUGAACGCUAGCGGCAGGCCUAACACAUGCAAGUCGAACGGUAACAUGGAUUGCUUGCAAUCUGAUGACGAGUGGCGCACGGGUGCGUAACGCGUAUGCAAUCUACCUUUUACAGGAGAAUAGCCCAGAGAAAUUUGGAAUAAUGCUCCAUAAUAUCAUUUAUCAGCAUUGGUUUAUGAUUAAAGCUCCGGCGGUAAAAGAUGAGCAUGCGUUCUAUUAGCUAGUAGGUGAGGUAACGGCUCACCUAGGCUACGAUAGAUAGGGGCCCUGAGAGGGGGAUCCCCCACACUGGUACUGAGACACGGACCAGACUCCUACGGGAGGCAGCAGUGAGGAAUAUUGGACAAUGGAGGAAACUCUGAUCCAGCCAUGCCGCGUGCAGGAUGACUGCCCUAUGGGUUGUAAACUGCUUUUAUAUAGGAAGAAACACUCCCACGUGUGGGGGCUUGACGGUACUAUAUGAAUAAGGAUCGGCUAACUCCGUG
Molecule: ribosomal RNA, 486 nt
Filed under: uncultured organism
Description: bacterial SSU rRNA
Rfam family: Bacterial small subunit ribosomal RNA
Source: RNAcentral